UGGCGGCCAAGCAAUCGCGAACCUUCACGUUGCAAACGGCCCACAUUAGCCCCGCGGAAGAGAAAGACCCAGCGAGCCACGCCCCGGAAGUUCCUCUCUUGUUCUGGCCGCUCUAGCCGUAGGGAAGGAAAUGAAAAUAUUAAAGUACACAAAACAUGAUAAAACCAGCACUCAAUCAAGAAAGAGAACAUUCCCAGUUCCCAGAAGUCCAUCUCAAUUAUUACUCACUUCCUUUCCAAAGGGUAAGCACAUGACCAAGGCCAUUGCAGUGUGUCAGUGUGAAUUAGAAAAAAGCAUAGUUGUACACCAGCUAAAGGCUUGAUGCUUUUGGAUGCAAGCAACUGGGAACCUGACUAAUAGAAGUUUAAACAAAAUGGAAAUUUACUUAUAUCACAUAGAGAAGUUUGGAGUUCAGCAGUUCCAGUGCUCAUUCAGUGGCUUAAUGAUGACAUCAAGGAUUGGAACACUUAUAAUUCUUCUGCUUCACUAUCCAGAUGAUAACAGUGAGACCUCUCCUCAUGUCCACAAAAUGGCUGCCAUGGUACCAGAAAUCAUGUUGUCAUAUCAUAACAUCUAAGGUAGAAAGGACAGAAAUAAACAGAAAAGAGCUUUCUUUGAAUGUCUGCUCUCUCCUUUGCUCUUUCUUUCUCCAGAGCAUCCAGCAGGCUGCUCCAUAUGUGUCAAUGAACAGAAUUUCGUUCACAUGCCCACCUCUCUGCCAGCCCCUAAGGGGAACAGAACUUGGCACUGUGCCUUCUAAACCAAAGCAGGGUUCUGUUAGCAAGGAAAAAGGGGGAAUGUCUAGAGGCAAACCAGUAGUGUUUUACCUACCCCUCUCUUCCAAUAUGAAUGCCAAAAAUAGAAGUAUAUAGAAAAUGCUAUGAAAACAUAGAUAAAUGUGUCAUUCUACCUAGGAGAACCGGAGAUGGCUUUUUAAGGAAUGGUACAUUUAAGCUGAAUUUGAAAGGGCAACAGGUGUUUACAAGGCAAAGGACAAAUGUCUCAGAACAUCAGGCAUAACAGACCUUAAAGAAUAUUUAGUACAGACUCUGUUAAACACAUGCAUCUCUUUCACAGCAUUUUCAAGUCUGCCUCAUUCCCUUCUAUGACCUAUUCCCGCAUCCGAGUCAAGCUAACAGAGCUUGGAUCUCCUCACUUUGGCCGACAGUGAUUAUAUGUGGGAGAAGGUCCAAGAUAAUGUAACUGCAAGAACAAUGUUUCUGACAGCUGACCAAAUGCACUUUUGGUCAAAAUAAGACAAUGAAGGACAUAGUAGGCACACUGUAAAGGGGCUCAAAUAUUUGUUCCUUUCCUAGCUCCCUUUCUCUCUCCCCAUCUUUCCCCUUUAUCAACUAUCUUGCACUCUUAUUUUAGGGAAUGCCAAAAUUGUAAAGCUAGAACUUAUUUUGAUUCUUCUGAUAGCAACGAAAUAGAAACUGCAGGAUACUAUGUGAUAGAGACCAAAGAGCUCCACUUGUUCUUUGUUCAGUAUUAAAACUACAUUAGUCACCCUUCGCUGUGUAAUUAAUUAUCCAAAAACUUAGUGGUUUAAAACAACGACAAAAAUUUAUUCUCCCACAUAGUUUCUGUAAGUCAGGAAUUCAGGAAAAGCUUAGCUGGGUGGUUUUGGCUCAGGGUCUUUCAUGAGCUUCUAAUUAAGAUGUCAGCCUGGUCUCUGGUUAUAUGAAGGCUUGAAUGAGGCUAGCAGAUUUGUUUGCAAUAUGAUUCUCUUACAUGGCCUAGUGGCAGGAAGCUUUAGUUCUCUCCCUAUGACGUCUUUAUAGAGCUACUUGAUACAGAGGCAGGAUAAAGUAGCAGAGAAAACACAAAUGUUAGACAGUGUUUAGGACAACCAGGUUACUAUAUGAAGGGAAUUUGGUUUCUUAUUUUACAUCACAUAUAUAAAGGAAAAAUCUCAUGUAGAUUAAAGGCCAAAGUAUAAAAGACAAAAUUAUAGAACUAAUGAAAGAAAAUAUAAGAAUUUCUUUGAGAGAUUUGGGGUAGAAGAGUAUUUCUUAAACAAGACCACAAAAUAUAAGGUGAGAAAAAUAAUGGCUGCAAUUGCAUUUUAAAGAUUUCUGUUCAACAGAGGAUAUCAGAGACAAAUGAACAGAUGGAUAAAAGACAAGAUGAUAUUUGUAAUGUUUGAAUAUUUAUAACAAACAAGGUACUCCUGCAGCUCAAAAUGGAAAAAGCAGGAAAUAAUAAUGAAGUGGUAAGUGAUUUGAAUAUGCAUAUCACUGAUUGGAAAAGCUGAAAGACCAAUACGUUUAUGAAGAGAUGGCCAAUCUAAUGAUCAGAGAAGUCCAACUUACAAUAAUUGAAUACUUCUAUACGCCAAUAAGAUUGGAAAGAUUUAUUGAAUAAAACCAAGUGUUGGUAAGGAAAUGAGAAAAAGGAAAUCUUCAUGUACUGCUAUGAGGAGUUUGAAGUAGAACAGCUGCCUGGGGAGACCAAUCUCUUAGUGAAGCAGUGUAUGUUCAUAUGUAGGACUCAGCAAUCCCACUCCAAGGUAUAUCUUCAAAAAAACAGUGGUACAGGUUUAUGGAGGGCAUGUCCACGACAACACUGCUUAUGGAAGGAGCUCACUGGAAGCACCCUAGGAGCCCUUAAUUAAAGGAAUGGAGAAGGCAAAAGUGCUUGAUGCACAGAAUGCAGAAUUCAGGAGCUCAGAAUAAUAUGUAUAUGAGUAGAUAGAUCUUUUUAUAGACUUUUCUGCUUCUUAAGAGCAGAAAGCAGAUGAAUGGUUUCCAGGGAAAGGAGGAAUGCAGAGUAAUUACUAAUGGAUUCAAAAUGAUGAUGAAUUCUGGGAUGAUGAAAACAUUCUGGGAUCAGAUAGUGGCGAUUUUUGAACAAUUUUGUGAACACGCUAAAAAUCACUAAAUUGUACAUUAAAAAAACUUUAAAACAUGAAUGAACCCAUUCACUGUAGAAAAUACAAAUAACCAAAAAGAAUAUUUUAAAAAAAUAUGCUAAAUGGAAAAAAGAAACAAAUUAAGUCUAUAUCUAAGAUGAUAUGUAUAAUUAAAAAACAAUACAUGUGUACACUGAACACUGAAUAUAACUCAAUGAUACAUAUAUAACCAAGGACACAUUAAAUACAUUGAAGUAGGUUCUUGAGGGAUGAGGGUGAAGGAAAGCAGAAUUGGAGUGAGAAUGGAAAAUGAAUGAAGGAGCAUCAUAAAAUAAGCAAAAUAAAACGAAUGGGGCUGCAGUAGAUGGAAUAAUGGCGCUUGCAACAAUGUCUGUGCACUAAGUACAGAAACAUGUGACUGUGUUACCUUGCAUGGCAAAAAGACUUUGCAGAUAUGAUUAAGUUAAUGAUUUUAAAAUAGGGAAAUUAUCCUAGAUAAGCUGAGUGGGUACAAUGUAAUCAUAAGGGUAAUUAAAAGAUGGAAAGGGAGAUAAAUGAGCCAGAGAAGAUGAUGUAAUAAUGGAAGCAGGGGUCCUAAUGAUGCAAUUGUUGGUUUUAAAGAUGGAAGAGGUCCAUGAGCCAAGAAAUGUAGGCAGCCCUAAAGUGAAGAAAUCAAGGAGCAGAUUCUUCCCUAGAACCUCUAAAAGGAAAACAGCCUUAGUGACGUCUUGGUCUUAGUCCUAGGUGACCCAUUUGGACUUUGGGCCUCCAGAACCAUAAGAUAACAAAUUUAUGUUGUUUUAAGCCACUAAAUUUGUGGUAAUUCGCUACAACAAUAGGAAGCUUAUACAGGGACUUGCACAGAUCAAGAUAAUACUCUUGGAACUGUGGAGAAUGAUUAGCUGAAUUUUCUAUACUGAAUU
This is a long non-coding RNA of Manis javanica (Malayan pangolin), 3777 nucleotides long. RefSeq lists it as uncharacterized. The record is from RefSeq and is a predicted model, not a curated record. NCBI's taxonomy places the organism in Eukaryota, Metazoa, Chordata, Mammalia, Pholidota, Manidae.